CAUCCUCCAAGGCUAAAUACUCCUGACUGACCGAUAGUGAACCAGUACCGUGAGGGAAAGGCGAAAAGAACCCCGGCGAGGGGAGUGAAAAAGAACCUGAAACCGUGUACGUACAAGCAGUGGGAGCACAGGUUUACCUGUGUGACUGCGUACCUUUUGUAUAAUGGGUCAGCGACUUAUAUUCUGUAGCAAGGUUAACCGUAUAGGGGAGCCGGAGGGAAACCGAGUCUUAACCGGGCGUUAAGUUGCAGGGUAUAGACCCGAAACCCGGUGAUCUAGCCAUGGGCAGGUUGAAGGUUGGGUAACACUAACUGGAGGACCGAACCGACUAAUGUUGAAAAAUUAGCGGAUGACCUGUGGCUGGGGGUGAAAGGCCAAUCAAACCGGGAGAUAGCUGGUUCUCCCCGAAAGCUAUUUAGGUAGCGCCUCGUGAAUUCAUCUCCGGGGGUAGAGCACUGUUUCGGCUAGGGGGCCAUCCCGGCUUACCAACCCGAUGCAAACUGCGAAUACCGGAGAAUGU
This 520-nucleotide ribosomal RNA is filed under the name Salmonella enterica subsp. enterica serovar Paratyphi A. Its description in RNAcentral is "partial 23S ribosomal RNA". It matches the Rfam family "Bacterial large subunit ribosomal RNA", at positions 454 to 973 of the family's 2925-position model. Lineage: Bacteria; Pseudomonadati; Pseudomonadota; Gammaproteobacteria; Enterobacterales; Enterobacteriaceae. The record is from RNAcentral. RNAcentral also lists the same sequence under 1 other name.